Podarcis lilfordi (Lilford's wall lizard) is the source of this 76-nucleotide non-coding RNA. The record is from the annotation of a GenBank genome assembly. Lineage: Eukaryota; Metazoa; Chordata; Lepidosauria; Squamata; Lacertidae.
GGACCAUCCCAUAGCUCAAUGAAAGAACAUCUGCCUUGUAAGCAGGAGGUCCCAGGUUCAAUCCCCAGCAUCUCCA